This 2434-nucleotide long non-coding RNA is filed under the name Aotus nancymaae (Ma's night monkey). Its description in RNAcentral is "lncRNA (ENSANAG00000039495.1)". The record is from RNAcentral. Lineage: Eukaryota; Metazoa; Chordata; Mammalia; Primates; Aotidae.
AAAAUAAUUAUACAGAUCACCAUAAUGUAGAAUCAGUGGGAGCCCUGAGCUUGUUUUCCUGCAACUAGAUGGUCUCAUCUGGGGCUGAUGGGAGACAGUGACAGAUCAUCAGGCAUUAGGUUCUCAUAAGGAGCAAGCAUGCCACAUGACCCCUCACAUACACAGUUCACAAUAGGGUUCACGAUCCUGUGAGAAUCUAAUGCCUGAGCUGACAGGAGGCGAGGCUCAGGCAGUCACGUGAGCAAUGGGAAGUGGUUGUAAAUACAGAUGAAGCUUUGCUCACUCACUGCUCACCUCCUGCGGGGCAGCCUGGUUCCUAACAGGCCACGGUCCGUGGCCGGGGGGUUGGGAACUCCUGGUGUAAUAGACUCAGGUGCUGUAGGUGGCCAUAUUGACUUUAAUACAAUGUCACACUUAAUUUUGAUGUAAUUUCACACAUACAGGAAAGUAGCAAGAAGAGGAAGAAGAGCUCCCGUGCGCCUCUGCCUGGGUCCAUCUGGCCUCAUUGCUGAUGUUUUAUGAUUCCUCGAAAGAUCUGAAGCUUCCUAGAUGAUGAUGAUGAUGAUGAUGAUGAUUAUGAGAGGUUCGAGAACACAAGGUGAGAUGUGCUGCUGUGUGGCCAGGGUCAUCGACACCAUCCUGACGAAGGCCAGCCUGUCUGCGGCAGCCAGAGGACAGACAGAAGAGCAGGGGUGGAGCAGAACCCCGUGCAUGGAGCAGGACCCGACCUCUGACCUCCCUCAGUCGGUCUGCAAAACAAGAGGCCAGGACGUCUGCUGUCAAAGGAGCCAAGCAGAAGGCACGAGUGUUUUCUGCCUUCCUAAUGAUGCAGCCAGAGUGCUGGGAGCCGACACAACCCCUUCACCAGCAUGGGGUCUGUGUCUGCCUUUGCUUUGGAACCUUAAACAUUUUUGUUUAUCAAGUAUUGGAUACCUACUAAAACACACUUGCAUACAUAUUUAAAGAUCUAGAUAAUACUGUAGCCCUCAUCAUCACCUUCUCUCUAUCCCCACCUGUUUAAGGAAAAGUUCAGGAGGCCCUUCCAGGCUCCCUGGCCCCUCCGUAAUCCCUGCCCCUCCCUCAUCUUUCCAGUAAACGCUGUCUUGAAUGUUGUGUUUGGCAUGCCUUGCUUUUCCUUAUGGUUUACUUCAGGUCUGUUAUUAAUGAAUAUGUUAUUCAGUUUUGCAUACCUUUACAUUUUAUAUAAUAGAACCACACUAAGUAUUUUUCUGCAACCUGUUUUCCAAAGUGUCAAUAUUAUUUUCCAAAAGUCCAUCCUUGUUGAUGAGUAUAGCUGGGUGUAGGGUCCAGCCCUCAGGGUCCUGUGAGCCCCUCUCUCCAGGUGUGGAGAUGAGAAACUGAAAAUAAAAGACACAAGACACCAAGAAAGAGAAAACAGUUUGGGCCCAGGGGUCCACUGCCAACCAGGGCAUGGAGUCUGGCAGUGGCCCCGAGUGCCUGGACACUCUGACUUUUAUUGAGUACAAAGCAGGGGCAGGGUAGGCAGGGUGAGGUAACGGUGGUCAGUGAUAGGGUCAGGUAAAUCACGUGUCUUGGGGACAGGGGCCCAGGUCUUUGAAGUAGCCAAGCGAGGAGAAAACCUAAUGCGUCAGCACUUUUUCAUACUUGUCAAGAGAGAACAAUGACGCUAAGAUUUAUGUUACUCUUACUGAUUUUAUCUUUUAAGAAAGGGAGGGACCAGGUGCAGAAGUGAAACAUGAAAAUAGACCUGGAACGUGACUGCUGAAGCACAGCCUCACAUAGGGACAGUUAAGCCCCCAGAUGUCUGUGGGCCUCCCUGACAGGCGCCAGGCCAGCUGCAAGAGCUUGGAGGAGUGGAGUUUUCUCCUAACUCCCCCAGGAAGGACAUGUCUCGGCCAUUUUGGACGUCUCCUUCCCUAGCUGGCUAAACAGGGGGCGCUUUCCCAGCACUGGCACUGCCAGCAGCCCUUAUGCGGGCGUGACAGAGGGCUUAGAGCAUCUUGCCUUAGGAUCACUUUGUUCACAAUGUCACCUCAGUUCCAUGCUUCAUAACCCGAUAGUCAUUAGUAAAAUUAAAGGUUAUAUUGAGUAUAUAUAUAUUUCUGUGGUUACAUAUGAAUAACGAUGUGAUUAUUCAGGAUUAUAUAUAGGAAUAACUGUGUAACUAUAUCUCUAAUUCUUUUCUAAUUCCGUAUUCAUAUGGGAACAUAAGGCUUCAGACCCUUGCCUCGGCACUUGCAGGGUCUCCCACAGGAUCUCUCACCCACACUGGGUUCCUUCUUUAUUUUAACCUAAUCUAUGGAAUGAAUAUACCAGCGUUUACCCAUCUGUUCUGCUGCCGUUGGUUAUUGGGGUUGGCUCCAUUUUCUUGCUCCUCCAACCAGUGUAGGUCUGGCCACACUCGCAGAAUUCCUGUGCAGAAGGCAGCAGUUGUUAAACGUUUUGUUCUCAG